UUAAGUGACUAAGCGUACACGGUGGAUGCCUUGGCAGUCAGAGGCGAUGAAAGGCGUAAUAACUUGCGAUAAGCCCAGAUUAGGUAGUAAUAACCUUUUGAGUCUGGGAUUCCUGAAUGGGGAAACCCACUUGCAUAAGCAAGUAUCCUGUUGUGAAUACAUAGCAACAGGAGGCAAACCGGGGGAACUGAAACAUCUAAGUACCCCGAGGAAGAGAAAUCAACCGAGAUUCCGAAAGUAGCGGCGAGCGAAAUUGGAUUAGCCCUUAAGCUUUUAAUGAGACAGACGAAGGCUCUGGAAAGUGCCGCAAUAAAGGGUGAUAGCCCCGUAAUCGACAUCUCAUAAUCAGUGAAAACGAGUAGGGCGGGACACGUGAUAUCCUGUCUGAAUAUGGGGGGACCAUCCUCCAAGGCUAAAUACUACUGACUGACCGAUAGUGAACCAGUACCGUGAGGGAAAGGCGAAAAGAACCCCUGUGAGGGGAGUGAAAUAGAACCUGAAACCGUGUACGUACAAGCAGUAGGAGCACCUUCGUGGUGUGACUGCGUACCUUUUGUAUAAUGGGUCAGCGACUUAAUUUUAGUAGCAAGGUUAACCGUUUAGGGGAGCCGUAGGGAAACCGAGUCUUAACUGGGCGUACAGUUGCUAGGAUUAGACCCGAAACCAGGUGAUCUAGCCAUGGGCAGGUUGAAGGUUGAGUAACAUCAACUGGAGGACCGAACCGACUAAUGUUGAAAAAUUAGCGGAUGACUUGUGGCUAGGGGUGAAAGGCCAAUCAAACCUGGAGAUAGCUGGUUCUCCCCGAAAGCUAUUUAGGUAGCGCCUCGGACGAAUACUACUGGGGGUAGAGCACUGUUAAGGCUAGGGGGUCAUCCCGACUUACCAACCCUUUGCAAACUCCGAAUACCAGUAAGUACUAUCCGGGAGACACACGGCGGGUGCUAACGUCCGUCGUGGAGAGGGAAACAACCCAGACCGCCAGCUAAGGUCCCAAAGUAUAGCUAAGUGGGAAACGAUGUGGGAAGGCUCAGACAGCCAGGAUGUUGGCUUAGAAGCAGCCAUCAUUUAAAGAAAGCGUAAUAGCUCACUGGUCGAGUCGGCCUGCGCGGAAGAUGUAACGGGGCUAAGCUAUACACCGAAGCUGCGGCUACGUACCUUAGGGUAUGUGGGGUAGGGGAGCGUUCUGUAAGCCGUUGAAGGUGGUCUGUAAGGGCUGCUGGAGGUAUCAGAAGUGCGAAUGCUGACAUGAGUAACGAUAAAGGGAGUGAAAAACUCCCUCGCCGGAAGACCAAGGGUUCCUGUCCAACGUUAAUCGGGGCAGGGUAAGUCGACUCCUAAGGCGAGGCCGAAAGGCGUAGUCGAUGGGAAACGGGUUAAUAUUCCCGUACUUCUUACAAUUGCGAUGGGGGGACGGAGAAGGCUAGGUGGGCCUGGCGACGGUUGUCCAGGUUCAAGUAUGUAGGCGGAAAGUUUAGGUAAAUCCGGACUUUCAUUAACGCUGAGAUACGAUGUCGAGCUACUACGGUAGUGAAGUCAUUGAUGCCAUGCUUCCAGGAAAAGCCUCUAAGCUUCAGAUUGUAAGGAAUCGUACCCCAAACCGACACAGGUGGUCGGGUAGAGAAUACCAAGGCGCUUGAGAGAACUCGGGUGAAGGAACUAGGCAAAAUGGUACCGUAACUUCGGGAGAAGGUACGCUCUUAUCAGUGAAGUCCCUUGCGGAUGGAGCAGACGAGAGUCGCAGAUACCAGGUGGCUGCAACUGUUUAUUAAAAACACAGCACUGUGCAAAAUCGAAAGAUGACGUAUACGGUGUGACGCCUGCCCGGUGCCGGAAGGUUAAUUGAUGGGGUUAGUCUUCGGACGAAGCUCUUGAUCGAAGCCCCGGUAAACGGCGGCCGUAACUAUAACGGUCCUAAGGUAGCGAAAUUCCUUGUCGGGUAAGUUCCG
Molecule: ribosomal RNA, 1946 nt
Filed under: Borostomias antarcticus (large-eye snaggletooth)
Lineage: Eukaryota; Metazoa; Chordata; Actinopteri; Stomiiformes; Stomiidae
Description: bacterial LSU rRNA
Rfam family: Bacterial large subunit ribosomal RNA
Source: RNAcentral